GAUGAAGAACGCAGCGAAAUGCGAUAAGUAGUGUGAAUUGCAGAAUUCAGUGAAUCAUCGAAUCUUUGAACGCACAUUGCGCCCCUUGGUAUUCCAUGGGCAUGCUUGUUCGAGCGUCAUUUGUACUCUCAAGCUCUGCUUGGUGUUGGGUGUUUGUCCUUUCCCUGCGUUAGGACUCGCCUCAAAUUCAUUGGCAGCCGAUAUAUUGGUUUGAAGCGCAGCACAAUUUGCGAUUCGGGCUGGUUAUUGUUGGCGUCCAGUAAGCACAUUUAACACUUUUGACCUCGGAUCAAGUAGGGAUACCCGCUGAACUUAAGCAUAUCAAUAAGCGGAGGA
This 336-nucleotide unclassified non-coding RNA is filed under the name soil metagenome. Its description in RNAcentral is "partial contains 5.8S ribosomal RNA, internal transcribed spacer 2, and large subunit ribosomal RNA". The stretch from base 1 to 119 matches the Rfam family "5.8S ribosomal RNA", at positions 35 to 154 of the family's 154-position model. The record is from RNAcentral.